Molecule: ribosomal RNA, 466 nt
Filed under: uncultured bacterium
Lineage: Bacteria
Description: partial 16S ribosomal RNA
Rfam family: Bacterial small subunit ribosomal RNA
Source: RNAcentral
GAUGAACGCUGGCGGCGUGCUUAACACAUGCAAGUCGAACGGUGAAGCCAAGCUUGCUUGGUGGAUCAGUGGCGAACGGGUGAGUAACACGUGAGCAACCUGCCCUGGACUCUGGGAUAAGCGCUGGAAACGGCGUCUAAUACUGGAUAUGAGCCUCUUCCGCAUGGUGGGGGUUGGAAAGAUCUUUUGGUAUGGGAUGGGCUCGCGGCCUAUCAGCUUGUUGGUGAGGUAAUGGCUCACCAAGGCGUCGACGGGUAGCCGGCCUGAGAGGGUGACCGGCCACACUGGGACUGAGACACGGCCCAGACUCCUACGGAAGGCAGCAGUGGGGAAUAUUGCACAAUGGGCGAAAGCCUGAUGCAGCAACGCCGCGUGAGGGAUGACGGCCUUCGGGUUGUAAACCUCUUUUAGCAGGGAAGAAGCGAAAGUGACGGUACCUGCAGAAAAAGCGCCGGCUAACUACGUG